GGCUGGGUGGGGGAAGGGAAGUGUCCUAGGGUGAUGUUAUGGUGAUUGUAUCCGCAAUCAUGUGUUCUGUUUAUGCUUGAUGUUAUGUUCUGUGCCUUCAGGACUGGCUUCAAAAAGUGAAGACUGGGACCUGAGAAACACUGAGAAGCACCAAGAACCUGUGUUUUGUGACCUGCAGCAGCCAUCCCCAGCGCCGGAGACCGAGAACUGGAUGACCACUCCCAGGAGAGACUUUCUGAAUUUGUCAUCUCUUCAGAGUGGUGAAAGAGUUUUUGUCAUCUGGUGUUGUUCUUGUGCCAGGGAGUGUUUCUGUCUGUUAAAUAAACUGACACUUUUUUUCCA
This is a non-coding RNA of Lonchura striata (white-rumped munia), 342 nucleotides long. NCBI's taxonomy places the organism in Eukaryota, Metazoa, Chordata, Aves, Passeriformes, Estrildidae. The record is from RefSeq and is a predicted model, not a curated record.